UAAUACGAGGGGUGCUAGCGUUGUCCGGAAUCACUGGGCGUAAAGGGUCCGUAGGCGGUCUGACAAGUCAUUUGUAAAAUACACCGGCUUAACCGGUGACCUGCAUCUGAAACUGUCAGGAUAGAGUUCAGGAGAGGAAAGUGGAAUUUCUGGUGUAGCGGUGACAUGCGUAGAUAUCAGAAGGAACACCAAUGGCGAAGGCAACUUUCUGGCCUGAAACUGACGCUGAGGGACGAAAGCGUGGGGAGCGAACAGGAUUAGAUACCCUGGUAGUCCACGCCGUAAACGAUGAGUACUUGGUGUCGGGAGAUUCGACCCUCUCGGUACCGGAGCUAACGCGUUAAGUACUCCGCCUGGGUAUUACGACCGCA
RNAcentral lists this ribosomal RNA (371 nucleotides) under uncultured bacterium. Its description in RNAcentral is "bacterial SSU rRNA". It matches the Rfam family "Bacterial small subunit ribosomal RNA", at positions 521 to 890 of the family's 1533-position model. The record is from RNAcentral.